UACGAAGGGGGCUAGCGUUGCUCGGAAUCACUGGGCGUAAAGCGCACGUAGGCGGCUUUUUAAGUCAGGGGUGAAAUCCUGGAGCUCAACUCCAGAACUGCCUUUGAUACUGGGAAGCUUGAGUCCGGGAGAGGUGAGUGGAACUCCGAGUGUAGAGGUGAAAUUCGUAGAUAUUCGGAAGAACACCAGUGGCGAAGGCGGCUCACUGGCCCGGUACUGACGCUGAGGUGCGAAAGCGUGGGGAGCGAACAGG
This 253-nucleotide ribosomal RNA is filed under the name uncultured bacterium. RNAcentral describes it as "partial 16S ribosomal RNA". It matches the Rfam family "Bacterial small subunit ribosomal RNA", at positions 524 to 776 of the family's 1533-position model. The record is from RNAcentral.